UUCCUCCACGUACCCCAUUCCCGAAACGACAUAACGUAGGGAAAUGUCGAUUAAAUCUACCUGAUCAUCCCAUCACGCUAACACACACCUGUUACAAAUCCAAUUACUCCUCCAUUAUACGCCUCUCCGAACACACGCAUCGGUUCCUGAUUAACAAAAAUCCAAGUAUAUCUUCCACAAAACGGAUUGCAAUUAUUAACCGACGAACACACAAUUUCCCAAAUUCUUCACCGCAAAUAUUCAGAAUACCAAGUCAAAUAAGAACGACAUCAUUCACCCUUAGGCCAUCAUCAUCUUCCCACUGGUAUGUUUUCUACAUUAACCCUAAUAUGAUUUCAAUUAUUUCCUACUUUUUACCGUCAAUCUGUCGAUGUAUUUUAUUCUCCUGUUAAAAUCUAUUUGACUGUUGUGUUUCCUCCGAUCUCCAUUUGGUGAAAUAUCCGUUCAGGUAUUAUUUUGAUUCUCGAGAGUUUACAUGUUUUUCAGUUGUAAUUAUCAUGAACGACUGCAAUAAGGGAAAAUAUUGCUCAGAAUUUGUUCCAUUGGUUGCUUUUACAUUGUAUACCCUUGAGAUUCAUAUAUAUAAAAGUGCAGAAUUUUUACCAAAAAUGCAUAUCAUAUUGCAUUAUUUUUUUCCCUUUUUGUUUUCAAUCGUGAAAAGUGGAAUUGAAAUUCCUUCAAACAAAUAUAUGAGAGAUUACAUUCCAUAUAUCUUGAUAUCCACAUUAAUUUCAAAUUAUGUGGUCUAUUUAAAUCCUCCCACUUUUGACAGCAUUCAAGAAGGAAAAUAAGUAAUCAUAUUGUAGAAAUUACUGCAGUUUUCCUCAAAUGCCUGAAAAUUUUCUAGCAGACAAAGAAUUUGAAUUUAGUAGUAGGUAAAUAACAUGAAAAUUUUACUUAGAUGAUAAAGUUUUAAUUUUUGAUACAAGAUUCUUAGCUAUAUUUAGAGAACUAUUAGGAAAUCUCAUCUAUCUACCACUAUCAUAUUUAAAAGUAAAUAACUUGAAGAAAAUAUCAUAUUUGACGACUAUUCUCUUGUUUUCCCGACUAGAAGCGAGGGUUUAGGUUUCAUAAUUCUGCAAUUUAAUUUUCAUAGCUAGGUAACG
RNAcentral lists this long non-coding RNA (1106 nucleotides) under Lactuca sativa (garden lettuce). RNAcentral's name for it is "long non-coding RNA (LSAT_LNC000245)". Lineage: Eukaryota; Viridiplantae; Streptophyta; Magnoliopsida; Asterales; Asteraceae. The record is from RNAcentral.